CACAUCUCUGCCAAGAUAAUACCAAAAAUAACUACGAUCCCACGUUUAGCAUACCACCGAGAACCCCUGCACCUGUCUCUUAUACACAUCUCUGCCAAGAUAAUACCAAAAAUAACUACAAACCCACCAUUUAGCAUACCACCGAGAACCCCUGCACAAAUCGUCCCAAAAACAUCACAGAGUACUGAAAAAAUAGUUCCAUUUCCCCCAGAAUCCACUCGACAGCAAGCACGACCACUUACAUUCAAACGCCGAAAUAAUAUUGGUUCAUUUCAAAGUUCACCGAAUCAACAAACAGAAGCUGCUGACUUUGGGAGUGGACCCAAGAAAGUUGAAUAUCUUGGAAAAGCCAAUGAAUCAAUGAAUACAAUCAGAACAAGACCAUCAGCCAAAGAUGCUCCAUUGCAACCACCUCUUCAAACAACUGAAAUGAACAACAUUCAGCCAAUGAGCCAAUCAGAAGAGAAUGCUUUACCAGUAGUUCCAUCCCAAUCAAUCGCUGUUCCUGCUCUUCUGAAUGGAGAGCUAGUUACAAGUUCAUUGUCACCUUCAAAAGUAAAGCUGCCAUACCUUGAUGGUCAAGAAGAGAUGGUUUCACAAGAUUCAUUUUCAAGUGAUUUAAGUAAUGCAGAAGAAGCAUCAUCAACCAAAUAUUUGCUGUCUCAGAUCAAUAACCAGAAGGGAGGCAAAGACAAUCAGAGCAAUACUCCUGCAGGCAACAUACACAUUAUUGAACAGCACAACAUCAGAGGCAGUUCCAUUAUCCAGAUAAUCAAUGAGAAUUGUGGAGGUUUUGUGUCGAAGUCUCUCGAUGAAUUUCUGAACUGCUUGAAAGCCACAAAGCUCAAUGAUACACCAAAUUUUAAGGAUUUUGCAGCCAACCUGCAUCACAAAGUACAAAAAUCAAGACCCAAUACACCUGCGGUUCCUCCUGCAUUGAUGAAAACACCAACACGUCAAGGACGCUUUCUCACCAAGAGGAAUGUGGAACACGUAAGGAACAAGAGGUCAGCGACAACUUACAACCGAGAAUUUCACCGAAAGCUCCUUUUCAUGGUGCCAGGCUGCAUUACCUUUGGAAUACUUUCUCUACUCUGCUUGAUUCAUCUCCUUGUGUACCACAACAAAGGACAAGACAAAUGCAACAACAACAGGUUCAUAAGCAGGCAACCGGUGUAUGGUGGCUGCAGUCCACAAGCCAAUGGUGGGUCAAAGAACACAGCCCAUACCACCACGUGAUGUCAUGCUGAAGUUACAGUUGUCAUGGUAAUUUCAAAGGACGUUGUGAACAAUUCUCCUUCUGUGCAGUGAAUUCAGUCAAAUGAUAUCAAGGAUGGAUGUGAAUAUCUGGCAUGCUGACAACAAUGAGCCAAAUUGAGCACAUAGCAGUAUAUAUAUAUAUAUAUAUAUAUAUAUAUAUAUAUAUAUAUAUAGGGGGGGGGGUAUAUAUAUAUAUAUAUAUAUAUAUAUAUAUAUAUAUAUAUAUACCACAUCUUGUGAUAUUGAGUGUCUUGAAGCCAUCAUUAUCCCUGAAUGAUUUAUGGAUUGAGUCACAAAAUUCAUACACCGCAAAAACGACUAUUUCUAAAAUGUGGAGACUUCAUUUACCGCUGUACGAGUUACACAGUUAAUGAAGCACAAGAAAAGGCCUUGUGUUGGUGGUAGUGAUGGAUUGUGGGUAAAGGUGAGGGGGGGAGGGCAAUAAAUGAUGAAGCAAAAUAAUGAAAUAAUCCUUACAAUCUCACUUUCAUCAAUUACAAGUCCCCCUCAUGCUGCCCCUUAAUGGGACCAUGCAUUUCAACCUGAUUUUAUCCACAUUAUCCUUCCCCAUUAGUUUGUGGGAGUCACCCCUCAAUUUUUUGUCCUUUGUAUUGCAAACUAGGUGGUCUUGCACUGUCUGUUUCUAUUCCAUCUCUUGUCUCCAAAUAGUGGUCAUUCUCUGAUAUAUCUAGUCAGUGGCAUCAGCACACACACAAUGGAAUAUCCACACAUUACAUGAUAUGCAGAAAUUCAAGGAGUAAUUGGGUAUGUUUGGAGGUUUGAGAAUAUCAAACAUACCAAAAAUACAAAACAGAAUGGAUGCUAUCAUAACUUACUGUCCCCAGAAAGGACAUCUACUGUAAUUUAUUGUUGCAUGUACUUGUAAAUAAAACUUUCAGAAC
Long non-coding RNA from Eptatretus burgeri (inshore hagfish), 2162 nucleotides. NCBI's taxonomy places the organism in Eukaryota, Metazoa, Chordata, Myxini, Myxiniformes, Myxinidae. The record is from Ensembl.